UGUCAUAAAAGGUUUUAUGUUAUGGAGAUUCUAGGUCAAGUUAGAAGCCCAAGAUAUAAGCUUCUGUAGAUUCAGUGUAUUUGAAUAUGCCAUCAUUACAUAGAAUUUUGAAAAUUAGUAAGUAAAGGAAUAGAAUCAAGAAUCUGUCCUGUUUUUCUUGAAUAAAUUAUUCCUCAGGGUAACCAAAUGGUUGAUGAGAAGAAUGUUUUUGUCAUAGAACUAUGUUAGUUAACAAAGAAGAACAAGAGUCAUAAUGUGAACCAGCCAGAGUUCCCGUCGUGGCGCAGAAGAAACAAAUCCGACUAGGAACCAUGAUGAUGCAGGUUCAAUACCUGGCCUCGCUCAGUGGGUUAAGGAUCUGGCAUUGCCGUGAGCUAUGGUGUAGGUUCCCAGGCCAGGGGUCUAAUCGGAGCUGUAGCCACCGGCCUAUGCCAGAGCCACAGCAAUGCGGGAUCCGAGCCUCGUCUGCAACCUACACCACAACUCACAGCAACGCUGGAUCGUUAACCCACUGAGCAAGUGCAGGGACUGAACCCGCAACCUCAUGGUUCCUAGUUGGAUUCGUUAACCACUAUGCCACGACGGGAACUCCCAUGCUUUACUUUUAAGAACUAGUGCACAGUUGCAAUUAUAUAUAUAAUAUAUGCCUAUAUAUGUGUUUAGGUGUGUAUGUAUAUACACACGUAUAUGUAUACAUUCAUACACAUGCAUAUGCAUAUAUAUAUAUAUAUAAACUUAUUUUCAUAGUUUUUAGUGUAAAGAAGCAUGAAGUUUUAUAACCUCAUUUUAUUUGUAAUUAUCCUCAGGGAUCUCUUUAUGUACAUUCACAAAUGUACUCAGAAACUUUGUCAGGAAUGGGAGUUGAGUCCUCAGUUUCCAAAAACAAUUUGGUUAUACUUAUGAUGAAAUAGUAUGUCAAUAAAUCUAACAAACACAUGAAAAAUUUAAGAAAUCAUAUGCAGGAAGGGUAGCAAAUAUAUAGUUAUCAACUAGGCUAGUGAAAACCAUUUCACAUCAUGUGUGAAUUCUGCUCAGUUGGUUGAGGAUACCCAGAAUAUAAUAUUGAGAAACAUUUUGGGUCCAAGUGGGUUUAGCUGGAAAAGCCUGUCAUGCUUGAUUAAUGAUGUCUGCAAGAGGAGCAGGUGGGGUGGCACACAUGCCAUAUAUUUUCCUCCAUUAACUAUUACUGGUUCUGAGCUUCCAGAAGCAAAGAGAAAGCGUUUUACAUAGUGGCUUAUAUUCAUUAUCUAAUGAAAAGGCAAUGUUCACAUUUGUAAGAAAGAGGGGCUUUUUACUUGUUCUAAAUUCUAAAAUGAUUUUGUUUUUCUAGAUGGAAGGAAUAUUGAAAAAUACAAUGAGUGAUAUCAAUGAUUUUUCAGUACAUGUAUAGUAUAUGACUUUUAAAAUAUAUAUUAUCUCUUAAUAAUGCAAAAGCCUAUCAGAAAAAAGAAACAAGGUUUAUUUUUUGUGAGAAUUUCCAUGAGUAAUGUACUGUACUUAUAAAAGGUAACAAGACUAGAAAAAGUACAUGGAAGGUUAAGUAAUCAAUCUCUUGGAUCCCCCCCCCCACUUCUCCCUAUAUAAAGUUAUAGGUUUAUAUCCUUUUUUAAAAGUAUAAAAUUGUUUCAUUUUUCCUCUCUGGCCAAACAAAUUACAUGACAUUGUGCUGAAGAGGAAGGGGUUCAGUAAUGAGGAAUGGAUUGGACAUGUCAGGGAGACUAGACAGCCCUGUUGCAAUCUUUCAACUAUAACUGAUGUCCUAACAUUGGUUUUGACAACCUGUGACAAUGGCAGAAGCAGUAUGGAGAGAAUUUUUAAUAUUACACAGAGGCUGUAGAUAUAACUCAAGUGCCCAUCUACUUUCUUCCCUAGACACCUUUCCAACUUCCCGUCUUCCCUUUCCUUCUUCCACUUCCCACUUCUCUUAUUUUAUCACAUAUCCAAUGUUUUCUACCCCAUUAUCCCAUUCCUGGCCUUCCCAGAAGUAUUAAAUUAUUGAAUUUAAUAGGAGACAGGUUAAAGAUCAUUUCUAACCUAAUUAUUUUUUAAGUCGACAGGCCUGACUUCAUUUUUUUUUAUUUUUAUUUUUGCAGACAUUAUUUAUUAGAGAAUAUUUGGGGAUUCUAUGAUACAUAUUAUGUAAGCUAUUCCAUAUAUUCAGUUUUAGCUUUUUUUUAAUUUAUUUUUUAUUGUUAUUUCCCCCAACACACACUUUUUUUUCCCUGCGGUACAACGCGGAGAACAUAUGUGUAUAUAUAUAUGACAGGCUUGACUUUAAAUUGUUAAUUGCUUAAGGUAUUACCUUUUACUAGUAAAACUUAGUAUUGACUCUAUCUCAGUUCAGACAUUUCUCAAAUGCUGCAAUGCCUCGAGCUCAUAACAAUACCUUCUUACUUGAAUUUCUUUAUUCAAAAUUAAAAACCUAUCAUUGUUAUCCACACAAUGAGUAACACUAUAUUAUAAAUAAAUCUCCUAAUGGAGUAGCAGAAACAUAUCAUUUAAGUAAGUUCUCUGACCACAAUGAAAUUUAAUAUAAAAUCAACAACAGGGAGAUAUUGGAUAAAUCCCCCCAGGCACUUGAAGAGCAAUUAUAUCAUGCUUCUAAAAAAUCCAGAGGUCAAAGGAAAAAUCAAAAAGGGAAACAGGUAGUUUGAAUUAAGUGAAAAUGAAAAUGAGAAAAGUUUUCUGAGGUACCUCCAUACUGUUUUCCAUAGUGGUUGUACCAAUUUACAUUCCUACCAACAGUGUAGGAGGGUACCCUUUUCUUCAAACCCUCUCUAGCAUUUGUUAUUUGUUGACUUGUUAAUGAUGGCCAUUCUGACUGGUGUGAAGUGGUACCUUCUAGUUGUUUUGAUUUGCAUUUCUCUAAUAUUUAGUGAUGUUGAGCAUUUUUUCAUGUGCUUGUUGGCCAUCUGCACUAUUCACAAUAGCCAAGACAUGGAAGCAAGCUAAAUGUCCACUGACGAAUGGAUUAGGAAUAUGUGGUAUAUAUACACAAUGGAAUACUACUCAGCUUUAAAAAUAACAAAAUAAUGCCAUUCGUAGCAACAUGAAUGGAACUAAGUGAAGUAGUCAGAAAGAGAAAGACAAAGACUAUUUAUAUCUGAAAUUUAAUAUAUGGCACAAAUGAACCUUUCCACCAAAGAGAAACUCAUGGACUUGGAGAUCAGACUUGUGGUUGCCAAGGAGGAGGGAGAGGAAAUGGGAUGGACUGGAAAUUUGGGGUUAUUAGAUGCAAACUAUUGCAUUUGGAGUGGAUAAGCAGUGAGAUCCUGCUGUAUAGCCCAGGGAACCCUAUACUAGUCACUUGUGAUGGAACAUGGUGGACAAUAAUGUGAGAAAAAGAAUAUAUAUAUAUACAUAU
RNAcentral lists this long non-coding RNA (3364 nucleotides) under Sus scrofa (pig). Its description in RNAcentral is "lncRNA (ENSSSCG00000053378.1)". The record is from RNAcentral. Lineage: Eukaryota; Metazoa; Chordata; Mammalia; Artiodactyla; Suidae.